This 253-nucleotide ribosomal RNA is filed under the name uncultured bacterium. Its description in RNAcentral is "partial 16S ribosomal RNA". It matches the Rfam family "Bacterial small subunit ribosomal RNA", at positions 524 to 776 of the family's 1533-position model. The record is from RNAcentral.
UACAGAGGGUGCGAGCGUUACUCGGAAUUACUGGGCGUAAAGCGUGCGUAGACGGUUAUUUAAGUCGGAUGUGAAAGCCCCGGGCUCAACCUGGGAAUUGCAUUCGAGACUGAAUAGCUAGGGUACGGUAGAGGGAAGUGGAAUUUCCGUUGUAGCGGUGAAAUGCGUAGAUAUCGGAAGGAACAUCAGUGGCGAAGGCGGCUCACUGGCCCGAUACUGACGCUGAGGUGCGAAAGCGUGGGGAGCAAACAGG